This 27-nucleotide non-coding RNA is filed under the name Mus musculus (house mouse). The record is from RNAcentral. Lineage: Eukaryota; Metazoa; Chordata; Mammalia; Rodentia; Muridae.
UGCUAGUAUAUGCAAUGGUGUCCGAGU